This 451-nucleotide ribosomal RNA is filed under the name uncultured bacterium. Its description in RNAcentral is "bacterial SSU rRNA". It matches the Rfam family "Bacterial small subunit ribosomal RNA", at positions 329 to 794 of the family's 1533-position model. The record is from RNAcentral.
UACCAGACUCCUACGGGAGGCAGCAGUGGGGAAUAUUGGGCAAUGGGCGCAAGCCUUACCUAGCAAUACCGCGUGAGUGAAGAAGGUCUUCGGAUUGUAAAGCUCUUUGAUCAGGGACGAACAGAUGACGGUACCUGAGGAAUAAGCCACGGCUAACUACGUGCCAGCAGCCGCGGUAAUACGUAGGUGGCAAGCGUUAUCCGGAUUUACUGGGUGUAAAGGGCGUGUAGGCGGGGACGCAAGUCAGAUGUGAAAACCACGGGCUCAACCUGUGGCCUGCACUUGAAACUGUGUUUCUUGAGUACUGGAGAGGCAGACGGAAUUCCUAGUGUAGCGGUGAAAUGCGUAGAUAUUAGGAGGAACACCAGUGGCGAAGGCGGUCUGCUGGACAGCAACUGACGCUGAGGCGCGAAAGCGUGGGGAGCAAACAGGAUUAGAUACCCCCGUAUGA